Molecule: RNA transcript, 2392 nt
Organism: Oxyura jamaicensis (ruddy duck)
Lineage: Eukaryota; Metazoa; Chordata; Aves; Anseriformes; Anatidae
Exons: 6
Source: RefSeq, a predicted model, not a curated record
CAAGAACUGUCCUUGAAAUGAGUAAUUCGCUGUGACUUUGUUUCAGUCUGAUAAUUAUUCACUGCAUUUGCUCAAAAGGAAAAUCAUCGUGAUUUUGGCUGAACAAACCAAGAAAAACCCACUAGCAUAUCAAUUAACAAAUUGUAUAAGAGCAUUGCAAUUACUUCGUUUAAUUGAAGUCCCUAUUUCUUAAUAGUGCCAGGCUGAUUUAAUGGCCUGGGACACACAGGAACAAAUAAAAUGCACUGGUCAAAUGAAUGGAAAUCCCCUUCCUUCAGCCACUUACAGGAUGAGAACACCAGGAGAAGCAUCUAUAAAUCUCAGCUUGGCUCACCAGGAAGAUGGUCGGAGGCAUGGAGAAUCCAGCUGAAGGCAGGUUGUAACUAGUGAAAAUGAGCAAUGAAGAGCUGCAGAGUCACUAAGCCCUUGAUGGUGAAAGAGCACGUGCAGCUGUGGGUGCGUGUGCACAGCUAAUUGCAAACCAUGACGGUGGGGGGCACAUGCAGUUUAAUACAGCUGCAGGCUCACAGCCUGACCUUCACAAAGGAUACAUAAAAAUGUCUCCCUUUAUCAACCUCAGUCCCUGAUUUCAGCUCUGGCACCCCUGAGGCACUGCCCUGGGUGUGAGAGAUGUCUCUGUCCUGCAGCGGGGCCGGGGUGACACCGCACGCCAUCAGCUGCUGCCAGCCCCUUUAAUCUCUCCCAGCGAAGAGAUAAACCGAGAGCAGGACAAGCCGUGGAGGAGGGCGAGGGGAAAGGAUGCUGGGGCCGCUGCAGCCAGAAAAACUUGUGGAGCAGGAAGUAUUGAAUAGAGUGUGCAUGAGGAGCUCAAGACGACAAAAUCAGAUUAAAAUAGGAAAAGGCAUCUCUGCCUGCUCUGUGAAUCUCUUUGGUGCCAGAGAAGAGAGAGAUGGCAGGCUGCGAGGAGAACGAGAUGGACGGCUGGAGCAAAUAGCAUCUAAUGAACCAUGCUGGAAACACUGUCAAAAGCAAAGAGCUGGAUCUGCAGGUCUGCAAGAGCAGAGGAGUGCUGGCUGCUUGCUUUUUGCACACAGAGAGCACCCUCUGCUUCCAGUUGCACAGGGCAUAGCCUACUUUCCUGCUGCUGCAAAGGAUGAAUGGAGCCACACCAGAACGUGCCGUCCCCAGCCAUCGGGCUCUGCAUCCCCCAUCUUAGGCAAUGCUCACCGCGCUGGCCUGAGCCCUGACAUUAGAAGCCAGAUCCAGCCCCACUCCUCCCUUCUCCUCUCUGUGCAGGCUGAAGUGAAAAGAGAGGGAGCAAGCAAGCUGCUCUUUUACAGGAAUCUAAUUUGGGAAUGGUGCAAGCUGGGAUUAAGCCCCUCUUUUUAACCAUUUCUGAGCUGUGACUGGGCUGAUACAGGCACAAGAAUGCUAUGAGAUUCUUGCUGAUGCUUAAAGGUUAAACGCUUGUCGGUCAUUUUCAAGGUAUGGAAGAUGAAAGUAAGCUUUGUGCUGCAAGAGAAACAGAGGGCAUCCAUACCUGGGCAUAUUUUAAUGAUAUAUAUUUUAUAUAAAUCAUAUAUAUAUGCGCACACACAUACUUAGGGUGCAGAGAAGGUGCACCUUUUAAACAUCUCCAGAGCAGAAGGAGCAUGGAUUCAUGAACCAUUGGUGGCUCUCAGUACACAGCUGCUUCUGCAAAGGUUUGAGCCAGAAGGCAAAGGCGAUCUUCGGUGCCCUUUCAAGAGAGCCUAGGAUGUGGCAAUACCAGAUUGCACCAAAGACACAAGGUGAGGUUUGUUAAUAUGUGGACUGGAGAAAUCCAAAAGGAUGUCAGGGAGGGUAGUGCCAGUGGUGUGAGCUCUUUUCUGUAUGUCAGCAGUAAACUGCACAUUCGGGGUGUAGAGCACAUGCACUACAGUGCCAGGUGGCCUCCAGCUGUCCCUCUGCCUAGCUUUGUGCCCGUCUUUCUCAAUCACCUCCCACUUGGAACCCUGGCUCAUCCUGCAGGAAGGGCUCCGGAUGCCCAGAGAGCGUGGGCUGCUCUCUGGGGAAGCACUCGCUCCAUCAUUACAGAAAUAUGUGAAAGGAGGCAGCGUUUUCAGAGGCUCCUCAAAAUGUCACUGUCUCUUCCUUGGCAUGGCUCUGUGACCUAUCUAAUAUAAAAUAUUAUUUGUGAAACUUCCUUUUAAUUGCUGUUUAAUGGCUCCUAAUAUAUUUCAAAUAGGCAUCUGCAAGUUCAUUUUGACAUUUAUUAGAAGCCAUUAGAUACCAAUUUAAUGGUGAUUUUAUGACAAAUGUCUGACAUCAUUAAAAAUGUGAUGGUUGAUAAAUUAUAAUGUGAUGUGCUUUUGAGUGUCAGGAAAUUAGACUGUUUCCAAAUGUGACUGUUUUUGAUGUUGUAAAUUAAAUUUUAUUUCCAAUUGAUUUA